This 795-nucleotide ribosomal RNA is filed under the name uncultured bacterium. RNAcentral describes it as "bacterial SSU rRNA". It matches the Rfam family "Bacterial small subunit ribosomal RNA", at positions 46 to 890 of the family's 1533-position model. The record is from RNAcentral.
GCCUAACACAUGCAAGUCGAGCGCACCUUCGGGUGAGCGGCGGACGGGUUAGUAACGCGUGGGAAUAUACCCAGAUCUACGGAAUAGCCUCGGGAAACUGAGAGUAAUACCGUAUACGCCCUUCGGGGGAAAGAUUUAUCGGAUUUGGAUUAGCCCGCGUUGGAUUAGGUAGUUGGUGGGGUAAUGGCCUACCAAGCCUACGAUCCAUAGCUGGUUUGAGAGGAUGAUCAGCAACACUGGGACUGAGACACGGCCCAGACUCCUACGGGAGGCAGCAGUGGGGAAUCUUAGACAAUGGGGGAAACCCUGAUCUAGCCAUGCCGCGUGAGUGACGAAGGCCCUAGGGUCGUAAAGCUCUUUCAACUGUGAAGAUAAUGACGGUAGCAGUAGAAGAAACCCCGGCUAACUCCGUGCCAGCAGCCGCGGUAAUACGGAGGGGGUUAGCGUUGUUCGGAAUUACUGGGCGUAAAGCGCACGUAGGCGGACUAUUAAGUCAGGGGUGAAAUCCCGGGGCUCAACCCCGGAACUGCCUCUGAUACUGGUAGUCUUGAGUUCGAGAGAGGUGAGUGGAAUUCCGAGUGUAGAGGUGAAAUUCGUAGAUAUUCGGAGGAACACCAGUGGCGAAGGCGGCUCACUGGCUCGAUACUGACGCUGAGGUGCGAAAGUGUGGGGAGCAAACAGGAUUAGAUACCCUGGUAGUCCACACCGUAAACGAUGAAUGCCAGACGUCGGGCAGUAUACUGUUCGGUGUCACACCUAACGGAUUAAGCAUUCCGCCUGGGGAGUACGGUCGCA